RNAcentral lists this ribosomal RNA (990 nucleotides) under Bacillus amyloliquefaciens. Its description in RNAcentral is "bacterial SSU rRNA". It matches the Rfam family "Bacterial small subunit ribosomal RNA", at positions 70 to 1043 of the family's 1533-position model. The record is from RNAcentral. Lineage: Bacteria; Bacillati; Bacillota; Bacilli; Caryophanales; Bacillaceae.
AGAUGGGAGCUUGCUCCCUGAUGUUAGCGGCGGACGGGGGAGUAACACGUGGGUAACCUGCCUGUAAGACUGGGAUAACUCCGGGAAACCGGGGCUAAUACCGGAUGGUUGUUUGAACCGCAUGGUUCAGACAUAAAAGGUGGCUUCGGCUACCACUUACAGAUGGACCCGCGGCGCAUUAGCUAGUUGGUGAGGUAACGGCUCACCAAGGCGACGAUGCGUAGCCGACCUGAGAGGGUGAUCGGCCACACUGGGACUGACACACGGCCCACACUCCUACGGGAGGCAGCAGUAGGGAAUCUUCCGCAAUGGACGAAAGUCUGACGGAGCAACGCCGCGUGAGUGAUGAAGGUUUUCGGAUCGUAAAGCUCUGUUGUUAGGGAAGAACAAGUGCCGUUCAAAUAGGGCGGCACCUUGACGGUACCUAACCAGAAAGCCACGGCUAACUACGUGCCAGCAGCCGCGGUAAUACGUAGGUGGCAAGCGUUGUCCGGAAUUAUUGGGCGUAAAGGGCUCGCAGGCGGUUUCUUAAGUCUGAUGUGAAAGCCCCCGGCUCAACCGGGGAGGGUCAUUGGAAACUGGGGAACUUGAGUGCAGAAGAGGAGAGUGGAAUUCCACGUGUAUCGGUGAAAUGCGUAUAGAUGUGGAGGAACACCAGUGGCGAAGGCGACUCUCUGGUCUGUAACUGACGCUGAGGAGCGAAAGCGUGGGGAGCGAACAGGAUUAGAUACCCUGGUAGUCCACGCCGUAAACGAUGAGUGCUAAGUGUUAGGGGGUUUCCGCCCCUUAGUGCUGCAGCUAACGCAUUAAGCACUCCGCCUGGGGAGUACGGUCGCAAGACUGAAACUCAAAGGAAUUGACGGGGGCCCGCACAAGCGGUGGAGCAUGUGGUUUAAUUCGAAUCAACGCGAAGAACCUUACCAGGUCUUGACAUCCUCUGACAAUCCUAGAGAUAGGACGUCCCCUUCGGGGGCAGAGUGACAGGUGGUG